Molecule: ribosomal RNA, 455 nt
Filed under: uncultured bacterium
Lineage: Bacteria
Description: bacterial SSU rRNA
Rfam family: Bacterial small subunit ribosomal RNA
Source: RNAcentral
UACGGGAGGCAGCAGUGGGGAAUAUUGCACAAUGGGCGCAAGCCUGAUGCAGCCAUGCCGCGUGUAUGAAGAAGGCCUUCGGGUUGUAAAGUACUUUUCAGCGGGGAGGAAGGCGGUGGAGUUAAUAGCUUCACCGAUUGACGUUACCCGCAGAAGAAGCACCGGCUAACUCCGUGCCAGCAGCCGCGGUAAUACGGAGGGUGCAAGCGUUAAUCGGAAUUACUGGGCGUAAAGCGCACGCAGGCGGUCUGUCAAGUCGGAUGUGAAAUCCCCGGGCUUAACCUGGGAACUGCAUUCGAAACUGGCAGGCUAGAGUCUUGUAGAGGGGGUAGAAUUCCAGGUGUAGCGGUGAAAUGCGUAGAGAUCUGGAGGAAUACCGGUGGCGAAGGCGGCCCCUGGGACAAGGACUGACGCUCAGGGUGCGAAAGCGUGGGGAGCAAACGAGGAUUAGGAUA